Molecule: ribosomal RNA, 464 nt
Filed under: uncultured bacterium
Lineage: Bacteria
Description: partial 16S ribosomal RNA
Rfam family: Bacterial small subunit ribosomal RNA
Source: RNAcentral
GAUGAACGCUGGCGGCGUGCUUAACACAUGCGAGUCGAACGGAAAGGCUCCUGCUUGCAGGGGUACUCGAGUGGCGAACGGGUGAGUAACACGUGGGUGAUCUGCCCUGCACUUCGGGAUAAGCCUGGGAAACUGGGUCUAAUACCGGAUAGGACCACAUUUUGGAUGGUGUGGUGGAAAGUUUUUCGGUGUGGGAUGAGCUCGCGGCCUAUCAGCUUGUUGGUGGGGUAAUGGCCUACCAAGGCGUCGACGGGUAGCCGGCCUGAGAGGGUGUACGGCCACAUUGGGACUGAGAUACGGCCCAGACUCCUACGGGAGGCAGCAGUGGGGAAUAUGGCACAAUGGGCGCAAGCCUGAUGCAGCGACGCCGCGUGGGGGAUGACGGCCUUCGGGUGGUAAACUCCUUUCGCUAGGGACGAAGCGCAAGUGACGGUACCUGGAGAAGAAGCACCGGCUAACUACGU